RNAcentral lists this ribosomal RNA (254 nucleotides) under uncultured prokaryote. RNAcentral describes it as "partial 16S ribosomal RNA". It matches the Rfam family "Bacterial small subunit ribosomal RNA", at positions 524 to 776 of the family's 1533-position model. The record is from RNAcentral.
UACGGGGGGUGCAAGCGUUGUCCGGAAUGAUUGGGCGUAAAGCAUCUGUAGGUGGUUUUUAAAGUCGACUGUUAAAGCCCAGGGCUCAACUUUGGAUAAGCGGUCGAGUCCUUAAGGACUUGAGUAUGGUAGGGGUAGAGGGAAUUCCUAGUGGAGCGGUGAAAUGCACAGAGAUUAGGAAGAACACCGAGGGCGAAAGCACUCUACUGGGCCGUGACUGACACUGAGAGAUGAAAGUUGGGGGAGCGAAAAGG